Molecule: ribosomal RNA, 2342 nt
Filed under: Escherichia coli
Lineage: Bacteria; Pseudomonadati; Pseudomonadota; Gammaproteobacteria; Enterobacterales; Enterobacteriaceae
Description: 23S ribosomal RNA
Rfam family: Bacterial large subunit ribosomal RNA
Source: RNAcentral
GUGACUGCGUACCUUUUGUAUAAUGGGUCAGCGACUUAUAUUCUGUAGCAAGGUUAACCGAAUAGGGGAGCCGAAGGGAAACCGAGUCUUAACUGGGCGUUAAGUUGCAGGGUAUAGACCCGAAACCCGGUGAUCUAGCCAUGGGCAGGUUGAAGGUUGGGUAACACUAACUGGAGGACCGAACCGACUAAUGUUGAAAAAUUAGCGGAUGACUUGUGGCUGGGGGUGAAAGGCCAAUCAAACCGGGAGAUAGCUGGUUCUCCCCGAAAGCUAUUUAGGUAGCGCCUCGUGAAUUCAUCUCCGGGGGUAGAGCACUGUUUCGGCAAGGGGGUCAUCCCGACUUACCAACCCGAUGCAAACUGCGAAUACCGGAGAAUGUUAUCACGGGAGACACACGGCGGGUGCUAACGUCCGUCGUGAAGAGGGAAACAACCCAGACCGCCAGCUAAGGUCCCAAAGUCAUGGUUAAGUGGGAAACGAUGUGGGAAGGCCCAGACAGCCAGGAUGUUGGCUUAGAAGCAGCCAUCAUUUAAAGAAAGCGUAAUAGCUCACUGGUCGAGUCGGCCUGCGCGGAAGAUGUAACGGGGCUAAACCAUGCACCGAAGCUGCGGCAGCGACACUAUGUGUUGUUGGGUAGGGGAGCGUUCUGUAAGCCUGUGAAGGUGUNAUGCUGGAGGUAUCAGAAGUGCGAAUGCUGACAUAAGUAACGAUAAAGCGGGUGAAAAGCCCGCUCGCCGGAAGACCAAGGGUUCCUGUCCAACGUUAAUCGGGGCAGGGUGAGUCGACCCCUAAGGCGAGGCCGAAAGGCGUAGUCGAUGGGAAACAGGUUAAUAUUCCUGUACUUGGUGUUACUGCGAAGGGGGGACGGAGAAGGCUAUGUUGGCCGGGCGACGGUUGUCCCGGUUUAAGCGUGUAGGCUGGUUUUCCAGGCAAAUCCGGAAAAUCAAGGCUGAGGCGUGAUGACGAGGCACUACGGUGCUGAAGCAACAAAUGCCCUGCUUCCAGGAAAAGCCUCUAAGCAUCAGGUAACAUCAAAUCGUACCCCAAACCGACACAGGUGGUCAGGUAGAGAAUACCAAGGCGCUUGAGAGAACUCGGGUGAAGGAACUAGGCAAAAUGGUGCCGUAACUUCGGGAGAAGGCACGCUGAUAUGUAGGUGAAGUCCCUNGCGGAUGGAGCUGAAAUCAGUCGAAGAUACCAGCUGGCUGCAACUGUUUAUUAAAAACACAGCACUGUGCAAACACGAAAGUGGACGUAUACGGUGUGACGCCUGCCCGGUGCCGGAAGGUUAAUUGAUGGGGUCAGCGCAAGCGAAGCUCUUGAUCGAAGCCCCGGUAAACGGCGGCCGUAACUAUAACGGUCCUAAGGUAGCGAAAUUCCUUGUCGGGUAAGUUCCGACCUGCACGAAUGGCGUAAUGAUGGCCAGGCUGUCUCCACCCGAGACUCAGUGAAAUUGAACUCGCUGUGAAGAUGCAGUGUACCCGCGGCAAGACGGAAAGACCCCGUGAACCUUUACUAUAGCUUGACACUGAACAUUGAGCCUUGAUGUGUAGGAUAGGUGGGAGGCUUUGAAGUGUGGACGCCAGUCUGCAUGGAGCCGACCUUGAAAUACCACCCUUUAAUGUUUGAUGUUCUAACGUGGACCCGUGAUCCGGGUUGCGGACAGUGUCUGGUGGGUAGUUUGACUGGGGCGGUCUCCUCCUAAAGAGUAACGGAGGAGCACGAAGGUUGGCUAAUCCUGGUCGGACAUCAGGAGGUUAGUGCAAUGGCAUAAGCCAGCUUGACUGCGAGCGUGACGGCGCGAGCAGGUGCGAAAGCAGGUCAUAGUGAUCCGGUGGUUCUGAAUGGAAGGGCCAUCGCUCAACGGAUAAAAGGUACUCCGGGGAUAACAGGCUGAUACCGCCCAAGAGUUCAUAUCGACGGCGGUGUUUGGCACCUCGAUGUCGGCUCAUCACAUCCUGGGGCUGAAGUAGGUCCCAAGGGUAUGGCUGUUCGCCAUUUAAAGUGGUACGCGAGCUGGGUUUAGAACGUCGUGAGACAGUUCGGUCCCUAUCUGCCGUGGGCGCUGGAGAACUGAGGGGGGCUGCUCCUAGUACGAGAGGACCGGAGUGGACGCAUCACUGGUGUUCGGGUUGUCAUGCCAAUGGCACUGCCCGGUAGCUAAAUGCGGAAGAGAUAAGUGCUGAAAGCAUCUAAGCACGAAACUUGCCCCGAGAUGAGUUCUCCCUGACCCUUUAAGGGUCCUGAAGGAACGUUGAAGACGACGACGUUGAUAGGCCGGGUGUGUAAGCGCAGCGAUGCGUUGAGCUAACCGGUACUAAUGAACCGUGAGGCUUAACCUU